GCUCUUAGAUCAGAAGCGAGAAUGUUGACAUGAGUAGCGAUAAAGAGGGUGAGAGACCCUCUCGCCGUAAGUCCAAGGGUUCCUGCUUAAAGCUAAUCUGAGCAGGGUAAGCCGGCCCCUAAGGCGAGGCCGAAAGGCGUAGUCGAUGGGAACCACGUUAAUAUCCGUGGGCCAGGAGGAAGUGACGGAUCUCGAAGGUAGUUUGCCCUUAUCGGAUUGGGUGGGCUGCUCAGAGGUUCCAGGAAAUAGCCCUCCAUCAGACCGUACCCUAAACCGACACAGGUGGACUGGUAGAGUAUACCAAGGCGCUUGAGAGAACCACGUUAAAGGAACUCGGCAAAAUGCCUCCGUAAGUUCGCGAGAAGGAGGCCCCAUAUGUGCGCAAGCAUGUGUUGGGGGCACAAACUAGGGGGUGGCGACUGUUUACUUAAAACACAGGGCUGUGCGAAGCCGUAAGGCGACGUAUACAGUCUGACGCCUGCCCGGUGCUGGAAGGUUAAAAGGAGGGGUGCAAGCUCUGAAUUGAAGCCCCAGUAAACGGCGGCCGUAACUAUAACGGUCCUAAGGUAGCGAAAUUCCUUGUCGGGUAAGUUCCGACCUGCACGAAUGGCGUAACGAUCUCCCCGCUGUCUCUAACGUGGACUCAGCGAAAUUGAACUGUGUGUCAAGAUGCACACUACCCGCGGUUAGACGGAAAGACCCCCAUGCACCUUUACUCCAGCUUUGCACUGGUAUCAGGAUUGUGAUGUGCAGGAUAGGUGGUAGGCAUCGAAGCGGGGACGCCAGUUCUCGUGGAGCCUCCCUUGAGAUACCACCCUUCGCCAUCUUGAUAUCUAACCGCGGCCCGUUAUCCGGGUCCGGGACCCUGCAUGGUGGGGAGUUUGACUGGGGCGGUCGCCUCCCAAACAGUAACGGAGGCGCGCGAAGGUAGGCUCAGACCGGUCGGAAAUCGGUCGUUGAGUGCAAUGGCAGAAGCCUGCCUGACUGCAAGUCUGACAAGACGAGCAGAGACGAAAGUCGGUCAUAGUGAUCCGGUGGUCCCAAGUGGGAGGGCCAUCGCUCAACGGAUAAAAGGUACGCUGGGGAUAACAGGCUGAUGAUGCCCAAGAGUCCAUAUCGACGGCAUCGUUUGGCACCUCGAUGUCGGCUCAUCUCAUCCUGGGGCUGGAGCAGGUCCCAAGGGUAUGGCUGUUCGCCAUUUAAAGAGGUACGUGAGCUGGGUUUAGAACGUCGUGAGACAGUUCGGUCCCUAUCUGCCGUGGGUGUAGGAGACUUGAGAAGAGUUGCCCCUAGUGCGAGAGGACCGGGGUGAACGAACCACUGGUGGACCAGUUGUCGUGCCAACGGCAGUGCUGGGUAGCUAUGUUCGGACCGGAUAACCGCUGAAGGCAUCUAAGCGGGAAGCCCCCUUCAAAACAAGGUCUCCCUUGAGAGCCGUGGAAGACCACCACGUCGAUAGGCCGGAGGUGUAAGUGCAGCAAUGCAUUCAGCU
This 1492-nucleotide ribosomal RNA is filed under the name metagenome. RNAcentral's name for it is "bacterial LSU rRNA". It matches the Rfam family "Bacterial large subunit ribosomal RNA", at positions 1273 to 2892 of the family's 2925-position model. The record is from RNAcentral.